CAAGGCGGUUGGUUCUCACUGCGCAGUGUAAAACGGUGAUUUUGCGAAGGGCAACAAGUCGAACUGCGAAGCUAUGGGAGGAACUGGCCCGGAUAAGGGGCGUCGAAGAAGACGAGGCGCUGAAGAAGGAGGUAACUGAAGAGACGCGUCGGCUCUGCCAGGAGUUUGCCAGUCGACUGCUUCUAGGUCUUGAUUCCAGACCGAACAGUGACAAAGAACUCAUGUCGUUCCUCGCCCACGGCUGCGGCACCACGGUGGGGGAGCUGGCGGACCCCCGGAAUGCGGUGAGAUGCAUUGAGGGUUCAGGAUUGGAGGUUCAGGGAGCGGAACUCCCGCUUGAUCAGGAGGCACCGCUGGCAGCUGUGGCCGCAGCAGCUGCGGCUCAUGCGGUCUUCUACUGCCCAUUCAGAGGGCCUUCCAAAACCCUGAUGGAGGUCAUCUAUUAUAGGGCGGUGAA
RNAcentral lists this long non-coding RNA (457 nucleotides) under Amphibalanus amphitrite. RNAcentral describes it as "uncharacterized LOC122374744". The record is from RNAcentral. Lineage: Eukaryota; Metazoa; Arthropoda; Thecostraca; Balanomorpha; Balanidae.